This 441-nucleotide ribosomal RNA is filed under the name uncultured Porphyromonas sp. RNAcentral describes it as "bacterial SSU rRNA". It matches the Rfam family "Bacterial small subunit ribosomal RNA", at positions 355 to 794 of the family's 1533-position model. Lineage: Bacteria; Pseudomonadati; Bacteroidota; Bacteroidia; Bacteroidales; Porphyromonadaceae. The record is from RNAcentral.
UGAGGAAUAUUGGUCAAUGGUCGAAAGACUGAACCAGCCAUGCCGCGUGAAGGUGACGGCCCUAUGGGUCUUAAACUUCUUUUGUCUGGGAGCAAUAAGGUGUUCGUGAACACCGAUGAGAGUACCAGACGAAUAAGCAUCGGCUAACUCCGUGCCAGCAGCCGCGGUAAUACGGGGGAUGCGAGCGUUAUCCGGAUUUAUUGGGUUUAAAGGGUGCGUAGGCGGCCUGUUAAGUCAGCGGUGAAAUGUCCUCGCUCAACGAGGAAAGUGCCGUUGAUACUGGUGGGCUUGAAUGCGGAUGCCGUUGGAGGAAUGUGUGGUGUAGCGGUGGAAUGCGUAGAUAUUAGGAGGAACACCAGUGGCGAAGGCGAUUUACUGGACGAUAACUGACGCUGAGGCACGAAAGCGUGGGGAGCAAACAGGAUUAGAUACCCUGGUAGU